This 665-nucleotide long non-coding RNA is filed under the name Manacus vitellinus (golden-collared manakin). RNAcentral describes it as "lncRNA (ENSMVIG00005001821.1)". The record is from RNAcentral. Lineage: Eukaryota; Metazoa; Chordata; Aves; Passeriformes; Pipridae.
CGAGGGCACGGGGGAGCCUCGUGCGCGCGCGGCGGGGCCCGGCGCGGCCGCUGCCUCCCGACCCACCCCGCCGGCGCUGGGCAGCCCUGGAAGUCCCUGGAAAUCCCUGCCGAAUCCUGUGUCGCCGCCGCCCACUUGUCUCCCGUGGGCGGCUGAGGAUGGAAAACACCGUGCUGUCGCGCGGGAGGGCCGAGCCGCGGGGGGCGGAGCGGCGGCAGGGGACGUGCGGCUGCGCCGGAGGCCCGGAUUGAACAACAUGCGCAAGUAGACGUGGAUAUCCAGUUAGGAAGAUCAUUCUGCCAUCUCUCUUCAGAGCUGAGAAGAAGCUUCAUCAUCCAGGUCUAGCAGAAAACUCUAUUCAAGCAUGUACAGUUCUCCAGAUCUGCUCUAACUCCUGUCAUCCAUUGUCAAAACAAAAGUAAGGGGUAGAUACUGAGAGUCCAGACUGUAAUAAGCACUUGAUUUGUGACUCAGAGCUGCAGGGGACUGUAAUGUCUGAAGACUUAGAGUUAGAGGAUGAAAUAUACUCUUCACUCUUCAUUUCACAGAAAAAAGAAAAGACAUGGAAACAUAAAGGAGCUUCUUCAUCUGCUCUCCCUGGGGAAAAAAAAAUCAUGCUGACAAAGACUUCUUUUGAAAAGCUGGAAGAGGAACAUUUGCUGUGA